GGUUUGUAGUGGCUCUUCCUUUUUUGGCCAAAUUCCGACCAUCCAGACAUCUAACAUCUUGCUCAUGCAAAACAGAGUUGAGACUACCAAAACUGACCAUAGAAGGCCCUGUAGAAAAGUCUCUUGCCUCCUAUGCACAUCCUGCCUUGCUUUCCGUCCCAGGACUCGAUCCAUCUACAGUGGCCCGUCCUAUGUAUAAAUUCCCGCCAUCCAGGCCACGUACCAUGAACCCAAGCAAUCUGAAAAGGUCCCUCAGAACUGAGGCAAGGACCUUGGCAACAGCCCUGGACACACUAGAUUGGGAGCAAAAAAAUAAUGCUCAAUAAAUAAUGCAGG
RNAcentral lists this long non-coding RNA (336 nucleotides) under Sinocyclocheilus grahami. RNAcentral describes it as "lncRNA (ENSSGRG00000021100.1)". The record is from RNAcentral. Lineage: Eukaryota; Metazoa; Chordata; Actinopteri; Cypriniformes; Cyprinidae.